RNAcentral lists this long non-coding RNA (1448 nucleotides) under Equus caballus (horse). Its description in RNAcentral is "lncRNA (ENSECAG00000048046.1)". The record is from RNAcentral. Lineage: Eukaryota; Metazoa; Chordata; Mammalia; Perissodactyla; Equidae.
CAGCGAGAACCGGUGAGACGGCCAGUGUGUGUGCUGUGGAGACAGUGAGAAAGACAGGGGCAGAAGAUGCGUUGUGGAGGAGGAAGGGGAGACGGGACCACGAGAAGUCUCUAGCAUUUGGUCUGAGUGAGAUGGAAAUCCAUUGAAGUUUUAAACAAAGGAAUGACAAGAUUCGACUUGCAUAUUGAGAGGAUCACCCCUUCCAUAUUCGAGAGGCAGAGAAGAAAGGACCCAUUUUAACCCCUCCCUCCAUCAACUGUAUGAACUUCGAACCUACAAAACCUGAAUCUGACCUUGCAUAGAAAAUACUGUGGAAUGACCUAAAUGUACAAUCAACAAAGCUUUAGGGUAACCCACCUAUUUUUGUGAUGCUUCUAUAUGAGCCCUUAGGAGUGUGUCAAAGUGGACAGACACUCUGGCUGCAGGAGCCCCUACCACAGAGACCCCGCCUCAGAAGAUGCAUUCAUAGACAAAGAGCCUGUAUCAAGCUUCCUCUCACUCUGAUGCCAGUGCCCAGAUCCAGACACCAGGGAACGACCGCUGCCCAGAGCUUGAAGAUGGGAGGGUGCAAGGCAGCUGCCAAAAGCUUCUGGAUUUUCCCGGUAGCUGUGACCCAGAGCCCUUCCUCUCUCCUGGCUGUUCUGCUUCAACUUGGACUGUGAAAAUCAUUGACCUGUCUGUCAGCUUUCAGAUCUUCACAAUUGUUCUUAGGUAGCUUCCAGCGAUGCCAGAGAGGAAUCCAUUGAUGCAGGAGUGUUGAUUCGUUAACUGUCUGUAUCUGUGAUCACAUUCAAGACCAUGCACGUGCUCAAGGCUGUGACUGAGACCUGCGCUUGCACAAAGUUACUGGUGUGGCUGCAGCUUGGGGAGGCAAGAAGCCUGAAAUGUGAGUCCUGAUUUUGUCAAAUUAGAGGAGGAAAGACACUGAGGACAACUAUGAAGAAUCCCAUCUUCUGGAGUUUAUCACAAUCCCUUUUCUGCUCCAGACUGUGAGAGUACGCAGGGAGCAUCUCUCUUUGCAAAUGUUCUCAGAGGAAACUGCCACAGAAGCUGAACUCUGACGUACCUGCUGCAUGAUGGGAGGGUGAAUUCCUGUAUUUUACCAGGGAGGAUCCAGAAACCAUUUCCUCCAACGACCAAAGGGAUUUCUGGCUUUCUUGACUGAGAAUUGAAACGAUUUUAAAUUGUGUCGCUGUUCUGGUGGGGCAGAAUGGUCUCCCUGUCAGUGAACUGUCUUCUGUAUUAUUAAGUUAGCAUUGCGUUGGAGUUGAAAAAGCAGAGGCCAAUUGCCAAAUAAAACAAGGUGUAUGUGUUCUGAUGUUAAUGGUUGACUGGAAAAUGUCUUUAUCUUUCUCAAUGACUGGUCAUUUUUUCUUUAACCAUAUGGAAAUAUAAUUCAGCUGGAUUGCCCAUUAGGAGUUAUGAAUUUCAAGUGUAAGAAAAAAAAC